AAUUUUCCUACAGUUAUUUCUGUGUUGCUGACGUUAAAAGAAUUCAUAGAAUAAACAGCUUAGGGAAAAAUGAUAAAUGUGUAAUCACACAACUCCUUAGCAUCGUUAAAUAUGUAUCUGAAGAGACCAUAUUAUAUUAUUCAACUCCCUCAAAUUUAACAAUCUAAAAUAGUGAUAUAUUUUGGCUGGUGAAAAUUUUAGACUUGACAUUCUACUGUGGAUUAUCAAUUUCAAAGAAUUACAUUGCCAAGAAUAUGCUACAAAUAAUGUUCAUGUUAUACUGAACCUAAUCUAGUUUUGCCUCCACAAGUUCAGAAGAUACUUCCAAUCCUUUGUCAGCAAAAGCAUCCAUUUUAAUUGAGCAUUCUGUUCCAUUUACUGUAUAUUUAAGUUGUUGUUAUUACAUAGCAGGAACUGUACUAGGAGAAGGAGACAGAAAGGUGGUGACAUACUUUUCCUUUCAUGGGGAAACAGUCUAAUGGAGAGAAGGACAAGUAAGAAACCACAAAGUGUAUUUUGGUAAGUGUUUUGAGAGGAGCUCUUGAGGCUCAAAGGAGGAGUUGUUGGUUGGGUCCCCUGAGAAAGCAGGCCUUGAAAUAAGGACUUGAAUAGAAUUAGUUUAUUUGGGAAAUGAUUACAGGGAACAGUAGUAGGGAGCGAGGAAGCAAGACAGGAAAGAGAUAGAGUCAAUUAAAGGUGCGUUGUCCAGCAAGUUCCCACCUGGCUGGCUGAAGCCUAAUCCAACUGGGGAAGUUUGGGAAAUGGUGUAAGACACAGUCUCAAAUUUAUCACACCUAAGGGAGAGGGAUUUGGAGUAUUUAUAACUGCCAGCAGUCCUUGGUUGCAGUCUAUUCAGAAAGGUAUUAAUUCUCUUACGCUUAUGAUUUGCAAAGGAAAAGAAAGUCCUCAGACCAAAACAAUAACAGCAACAACCAAAAACUGUUUUCGUUUGGAAGGAGGACCAGAAGGAAGGAAUAAGGGUCAGGCACUGACUCUACAGAUACUCAGACUCAAAGCUCACUGGAGAGCAGAAUGAGUAUUCCAAAAAUGGCCAUCAUAUGUCUGGACCCAUAUUCUCUUCUAGAACAUUGCCCCUACUCCAUCAAGAAGUUGAGUGUAUGUACUUCUCUCUGAACCUGGGUUGCCUCUCAUAUCUCCUCAUCAUAUAUACCUCUUCAAAUUCAAUCGAGAUUUCAAUUCUUCUCACUUCUCCCCAACCUUACUUUGAUCUCCUGGUAAUUUUAGAGUAAUUGAGAAUAUUUUCUAACAUACGUGUCAACAUAAUGAAGGAGCUGGGACCUAAAUGAAGAAGCGACAGAAUUUACAGUGGCUUUGAAUGCUGGUUCCUGAAUGGAUUUGCUUGACUGCAAUUCAAUCUUUUUUGUGGCUCAAGGCUCACUCACCUCUAAAAG
This 1412-nucleotide long non-coding RNA is filed under the name Homo sapiens (human). RNAcentral describes it as "HSALNT0124582". Lineage: Eukaryota; Metazoa; Chordata; Mammalia; Primates; Hominidae. The record is from RNAcentral.